This 64-nucleotide transfer RNA is filed under the name Caridina pseudogracilirostris. RNAcentral's name for it is "tRNA-Leu". The record is from RNAcentral. Lineage: Eukaryota; Metazoa; Arthropoda; Malacostraca; Decapoda; Atyidae.
UCUAAAAUGGCAGAUCAUUGCACAGGGUUUAAGCCCCUGAUAGGAAAUAUUAUUUCUUUUAGAA